Molecule: ribosomal RNA, 992 nt
Filed under: Phalacrocorax auritus (double-crested cormorant)
Lineage: Eukaryota; Metazoa; Chordata; Aves; Suliformes; Phalacrocoracidae
Description: Nannopterum auritus (double-crested cormorant) partial 16S ribosomal RNA
Rfam family: Bacterial large subunit ribosomal RNA
Source: RNAcentral
CUGCAGUUUCAGACCGGCCCCCCACGGACAACCUCGCCUAACCCCCAUGUGGCAAACCAAGAGCAAUUUAAAGGGGGUACAGCCCCUUUAAAAAAGAGAACAGUCUCCCAUAGAGGAUAACUAACCAUCCACCAACCAUCCAAACUGUAGGCCCUUAAGCAGCCACCAACAAAGAAUGCGUCAAAGCUCUCAACCUAAAAAAAUCUAAAAACAACAUGACUCCCUCACCCCCAACAGGCUAGCCUAUACAGAUAGGAGCACCAAUGCUAAAAUGAGUAACUGAGGAAUCCCUCCCUCUUAAGCGCAAACUUACAUCCCACAUUAUUAACGGACCACAACCAAUACCACAAACCCACACAAGACCCUAUAUUUUACCCCCCGUUAAUCCAACCCAGGAGCGCUCAACUAGAAAGAUUAAAAUCUGUAAAAGGAACUAGGCAAACCCAGGACCCGACUGUUUACCAAAAACAUAGCCUUCAGCAAGCCAAGUAUUGAAGGUGAAGCCUGCCCAGUGACACUACGUUCAACGGCCGCGGUAUCCUAACCGUGCAAAGGUAGCGCAAUCAAUUGUCCCAUAAAUGGGGACCAGUAUGAAUGGCUAAACGAGGCCCCAACUGUCUCUUACAGAUAAUCAGUGAAAUUGAUCUCCCUGUGCAAAAGCAGGAAUAAACACAUAAGACGAGAAGACCCUGUGGAACUUAAAAAUCAGCAGCCACCCGACACAAAAUCAAACCUAUCAGGCCCACCACAAUCAGACACUGGCCCGCAUUUUUCGGUUGGGGCGACCUUGGAGAAAAACAAAUCCUCCAAAAACAAGACCUCCCCUCUUAACCAAGAACAACCCCUCAAAGUACUAACAGUAAUCAGACCCAAUACAAUUGACCAAUGGACCAAGCUACCCCAGGGAUAACAGCGCAAUCCCCUCCAAGAGCCCAUAUCGACAAGGGGGUUUACGACCUCGAUGUUGGAUCAGGACAUCCUAAUGGUGCAGC